GACGAACGCUGGCGGCGUGCUUAACACAUGCAAGUCGAACGGAAAGGCCCUGCUUUUGUGGGGUGCUCGAGUGGCGAACGGGUGAGUAACACGUGAGUAACCUGCCCUUGACUUUGGGAUAACUUCAGGAAACUGGGGCUAAUACCGUAUAGGAGCUCCUGCUGCAUGGUGGGGGUUGGAAAGUUUCGGCGGUUGGGGAUGGACUCGCGGCUUAUCAGCUUGUUGGUGGGGUAGUGGCUUACCAAGGCUUUGACGGGUAGCCGGCCUGAGAGGGUGACCGGCGACAUUGGGACUGAGAUACGGCGCAGACUCCUACGGGAGGCAGCAGGGGGGAAUAUUGCACAAUGGGCGGAAGCCUGAUGCAGCAACGCCGCGUGCGGGAUGACGGCCUUCGGGUUGUAAAAAGCUUUCGCCUGUGACGAAGCGUGAGUGACGGUAAUGGGUAAAGAAGCACCGGCUAACUACGUG
This 468-nucleotide ribosomal RNA is filed under the name uncultured bacterium. Its description in RNAcentral is "partial 16S ribosomal RNA". It matches the Rfam family "Bacterial small subunit ribosomal RNA", at positions 28 to 507 of the family's 1533-position model. The record is from RNAcentral.